GUGCUCACUUCGGCAGCACAUAUACUAAAACUGGAACGAUACAGAGAAGAUUAGCAUGGCCCCUGCGCAAGGAUGACAUGCUAAUUCGUGAAGUGUUCCAUAUUUUU
RNAcentral lists this small nuclear RNA (107 nucleotides) under Tupaia belangeri (northern tree shrew). The record is from RNAcentral. Lineage: Eukaryota; Metazoa; Chordata; Mammalia; Scandentia; Tupaiidae.